This 594-nucleotide ribosomal RNA is filed under the name Triticum aestivum (bread wheat). RNAcentral's name for it is "partial small subunit ribosomal RNA". Lineage: Eukaryota; Viridiplantae; Streptophyta; Magnoliopsida; Poales; Poaceae. The record is from RNAcentral.
AUGUACGCGAGGCGCGCGUCGCAGCUGCUGAAGGAGCUCGACGCCUGCGAGCCCGGCCAGCUCGUGGUUUUCAACAGCGACGUAUUUGAUCAGGUCAUUAGAGAGUGCGGUGAGCACAAUGCACAGUUUCAGGCAUUGAUCAGAAAAAUGGUGGAGCAAAACUUAGACAUUGAAACAACAAGAAACGAAGACCACUAUGGUGCAGCUAUCCACCAUCUCUCGCUGCUCCGCAACAAAAGAUGCCUCAUGGCUUACAUGUACAACCGAGCAGAAACUAUUCGGAGUUUUAGAUGGAAAAUUGGUCCUGUGCUUCCUCAUGAAAUACAAGAAAAGCUCAAUUUCUCAGAGAAAGAGUACUUCAGAAGCCACUCUUCAGCCAUUAAGUCUUAUAUCUCAGAGAUGGAUAUAGAUUUAACAGUGGACAUGGUACCCCCCAAGGAUCCUUAUAUCCAGGUUCGAGUGCUGGAGGACAUUGGUGAAGUAUCUCUUGGUGACCAUUCCGUGUCAUUGACAAAAAAUUCACUCCAUUUCCUUAGGCGCACAGAUGCAGAACAGUUUAUAUCACAGGGUCUCAUGGAAGAAUUUCUGGAGUAG